GAGGAGGAAGAAGAAGAAGAAGAAGCAGAAGAAGAAGAAGAGGGGAAGCACGGCUCCCCCGCCGUCGAGCGCCGCUCUGCCCCCCUUGAUG
Xyrichtys novacula (pearly razorfish) is the source of this 91-nucleotide non-coding RNA. NCBI's taxonomy places the organism in Eukaryota, Metazoa, Chordata, Actinopteri, Labriformes, Labridae. The record is from the annotation of a GenBank genome assembly.